RNAcentral lists this ribosomal RNA (1486 nucleotides) under uncultured bacterium. RNAcentral describes it as "bacterial SSU rRNA". It matches the Rfam family "Bacterial small subunit ribosomal RNA". The record is from RNAcentral.
UAGAGUUUGAUCCUGACUCAGAGUGAACGCUGGCGGCGUGCCUAACACAUGCAAGUCGAACGAUGAAGCUAUUUAUAAAGCUUGCUUUAUUUAUGGCGGAUUAGUGGCGCACGGGUGAGUAAUGUAUAGAUAAUCUGCCCAUAAGAUGGGGACAACAGUUGGAAACGACUGCUAAUACCCAAUAUACCUUUUUAACAUAAGUUAAAUAGGGAAAUGUUUUUCGCUUAUGGAUGAGUCUAUAUCCCAUCAGCUAGUUGGUAAGGUAAAAGCUUACCAAGGCAAUGACGGGUAGCUGGUCUUAGAGGACGAUCAGCCACACUGGAACUGAGACACGGUCCAGACUCCUACGGGAGGCAGCAGUGGGGAAUAUUGCACAAUGGGGGGAACUCUGAUGCAGCAACGCCGCGUGGAGGAUGACGCAUUUCGGUGUGUAAACUCCUUUUAUUUAGGUAGAAAUUUGACGGUACUAAAUGAAUAAGCACCGGCUAACUCCGUGCCAGCAGCCGCGGUAAUACGGAGGGUGCAAGCGUUACUCGGAAUUACUGGGCGUAAAGGACGCGUAGGCGGUUUGAUAAGUUAGAUGUGAAAUCCUAUGGCUUAACCAUAGAACUGCAUCUAAAACUGCCAAACUAGAGUGAGGGAGAGGUCAGUGGAAUUAGUGGUGUAGGGGUAAAAUCCGUAGAGAUCACUAGGAAUACUCAUAGCGAAGGCGACUGACUGGAACUUUACUGACGCUGAGGCGUGAAAGCGUGGGGAGCAAACAGGAUUAGAUACCCUGGUAGUCCACGCCCUAAACGAUGUACACUAGUUAUUGUGGUGCAAGUCACUGCAGUAAUGCAGCUAACGCAUUAAGUGUACCGCCUGGGGAGUACGGUCGCAAGAUUAAAACUCAAAGGGAUAGACGGGGACCCGCACAAGCGGUGGAGCAUGUGGUUUAAUUCGAAGAUACGCGAAGAACCUUACCUGGACUUGACAUCCUAUUAAUAAUUUAGAGAUAGAUUAGUGCUAGUUUACUAGAAAAUAGUGACAGGUGCUGCACGGCUGUCGUCAGCUCGUGUCGUGAGAUGUUGGGUUAAGUCCCGCAACGAGCGCAACCCUCGUCGUUAGUUGCUAACAGUUCGGCUGAGCACUCUAACGAGACUGCCUGGGUAACCAGGAGGAAGGUGAGGACGACGUCAAGUCAUCAUGGCCCUUAUGUCCAGGGCUACACACGUGCUACAAUGGUUGGGACAAUGGGACGCAAUACCGCGAGGUGGAGCAAAUCUAUAAACCCAAUCUCAGUUCGGAUAGCACUCUGCAACUCGAGUGCUUGAAGCUGGAAUCGCUAGUAAUCGUAGAUCAGCAAUGCUACGGUGAAUACGUUCCCGGGUCUUGUACUCACCGCCCGUCACACCAUGGGAAUUUAGUUCACCCGAAGCCGGAAUGCCAAAUUGGCUACCGUCCACGGUGGGCUCAGUAACUAGGGUGAAGUCGUAACAAGGUAACC